RNAcentral lists this small RNA (450 nucleotides) under Histoplasma capsulatum. Its description in RNAcentral is "hypothetical RNA". Lineage: Eukaryota; Fungi; Ascomycota; Eurotiomycetes; Onygenales; Ajellomycetaceae. The record is from RNAcentral. RNAcentral also lists the same sequence under 1 other name.
UUGAUAGCAUUAUAUUGGGCCGAAUUCCUGUCGCGCACGAGGUUACGCCAGGCAAUCACAGCGCUCCGUCCAUAGAGUGUUUUAGAGCAACAGCUUUUUCUUCGCUUUCGAGAGCCUUAAUCUCAGCUGGCAUCUCUGCGCGUUCAAGGUUAUCGCCGACAUCAAGACCUUCGUAUCCUAAGAGUCAUCCAAACAAUGGUCGCUCAGGGGCGCGAUUUGGAUCGAUUGCCAGUCAGUUAUUCUCAAGAUCUGCCGGUUCUCCGGGUCGACAAAUAUACUCUCGUGAUGCUAUUGUAAGCGAUGGGUCAUCUGGAAGCUUGCUUCUAGAAUCUACAUGUAGUACUGUAGCGCCUCGAAUUUUCUCUAUUUUUUUUUCUUUUUGUAUAGUAGAUUGAUCUAGUGGUUCCGGGUCAUCGAGCAUGGCCAGCUGCUUUGGUAUAUGCUGGAACU